This 419-nucleotide long non-coding RNA is filed under the name Coturnix japonica (Japanese quail). Its description in RNAcentral is "lncRNA (ENSCJPG00005004159.1)". Lineage: Eukaryota; Metazoa; Chordata; Aves; Galliformes; Phasianidae. The record is from RNAcentral.
UUUUGUUCAUGGGUUGCAUUGCUGGCUGUACAAGUACCUUGCAACGAGUUCCAAACCAGGCUGGAAUGAGGUCAACAGAAUGAGUCCCUGAGAAGCCUGGUCACGGUGAUGACCACUGUAAACACAGAAGUCAUAGACUGAAUUUUGGGCCCUGUUUGGGUUCUUUUGCAGUGGGGGAGGGGGAUGACUAUCAUAGAAUCCUAGAAUCAUAGAAUUACCCAGAUUGGAAAAGACCCUGAAGAUCAUCAAGUCCAACCACAGCCUAACCAUAGUACCCUAACUCUAACAACCAUCUGCUAAAUCAUAUCCCUGAGCACCACAUCCAAAUGGCUCUUAAACACAUCCAGGUAUGGUGACUAUAUUAACUACUAAAAUAAUUCCUGAAAGUUUGCAUGUUUGAAAAGGCUAAAGCUGGGGAG